Molecule: long non-coding RNA, 1307 nt
Filed under: Zonotrichia albicollis (white-throated sparrow)
Lineage: Eukaryota; Metazoa; Chordata; Aves; Passeriformes; Passerellidae
Description: lncRNA (ENSZALG00000002127.1)
Source: RNAcentral
GGUGAGGCUGAGGAGUAACCCCUGGCCUUCCUCCCGGGCAGUUCUGGGAUCGCUGCAAGCUCUUCCUGAUGCCGGCCAAGCACCAGCCCGACUACGUGUUCCUGCGGCACGUCCCGCUGCGCCGCAUCCACCUCUUCACGCUGGUGCAGAUCGUCUGCCUGGCCGUGCUCUGGAUCCUCAAAUCCACCGUGGCCGCCAUCAUCUUCCCCGUCAUGGUAACCCCGUCCUUGAUCCAAGUGGGGUUUGCUGGGAUUUAAUGGAAUUUUUGGCAUGGUUCCACCAUGGCUGCCAUCAUCUUCCCUGUCAUGGUGAUCCCAUCCUACAUUGGAAGGGUUUAGUAGAAUUUUUGGUGUGGUCCCACCAUCAUCAUCUUCCCCGUCAUGGUGAUCCCAUCCUUGAUCCAAAGGGGUUUUUUUGGGAUUUAAUGGAAUUUUUGGCAUGGUUCCAUCAUGGCUGCCAUCAUCUUCCCCGUCAUGGUAACCCCGUCCUUGAUCCAAAUGGGGUUUGCUGGGAUUUAAUGGGAUUUUUGGUGUGGUCCCACCGUGGUCCCACCAUCAUCAUCUUCCCCAUCAUGGUGAUCCCAUCCUACAUUGGAAGGGUUUUUUCGGGAUUUUUGGUGUGGUCCCACCAUCAUCAUCUUCCCUAUCAUGGUGAUCCCAUUCUACAUUGGAAGGGUUUUUUGGGAUUUUUGGCAUGGUCCCACCGUGGCUGUCACCAUCUACCCAGUCAUGGUAAUCCCAUCCUUGAACCAAAGGGGUUUUUUUUGGGAUUUAAUGGAAUUUUUGGUGUGGUUCCACCAUGGCUGUCACCAUCUACCCAGUCAUGGUAAUCCCAUCCUCGCUCCAAAGGGGUUUUUGGGAUUUAAGGGUGUUUUUGGCUUGGUGGUCACCACCAGACCUUGGCUUGAGCUGCUCCUGGACCUCUCCCCUGUCAGAUCUUGGCCCUGAUCCUGGUGAGGAGGCUCCUGGAUUUCGUCUUCUCCCAGCACGACCUGGCCUGGAUCGACAACAUCAUCCCCGAGAAGGAGAAGAAGAAGGAGGACGACAAGAAGAAGAAGAAGAAAGGCAACAAAGGCGACAGCAGCAGCGACGAGGAGGUGGGCGCGGGGUCACCGGGGGCUCCCGGGGACAGGGGGACACCCCAGAGCCGGGCAGGGUCACCCGGGCAGUGUCUCAGCUCUGUGUCCCCCCAGGAAAGAGGGCCUCCCCCCGGAGCUCUGCGUUCUGACUCGUCCCCGAACGGCUCCGACAUGGACCGCAGGUAACCGGGACCCCGAUCCCAUCCUUGGGGGGAAAUUUGGGAUCCCC